UCGUACAACGGAGGUGCGAGGGCUGUCGCUGACUUUCAAAAGGUCGUGCACGCCCAAGCGCUCUCUCACACAUCCAUCUCACCCCCUUUGUGCAUCACCGCGUGGGUCCUCCUCACGGAGGGCUCGCGUUUUCACAUAAAACUGGAUACUGUAUAGAAUGUUUUCUUUUUUGUUUGCGGUCACACGCAAUCAAUA
This 195-nucleotide unclassified non-coding RNA is filed under the name uncultured Russula. RNAcentral describes it as "sequence contains ITS1". Lineage: Eukaryota; Fungi; Basidiomycota; Agaricomycetes; Russulales; Russulaceae. The record is from RNAcentral.